CUGUGGCCAUGAGAUGGGGCCUGAGCGCCACCGCCUGGCCGAGGAGGAGCUCAUCAAAGCCCAGAAGGUGUUUGAGGAGAUGAAUGUGGAUCUGCAGGAGGAGUUGCCGUCCCUGUGGAACAGCCGCGUAGGUUUCUAUGUCAACACGUUCCAGAGCAUCGCGGGCCUGGAGGAAAACUUCCACAAGGAGAUGAGCAAGCUCAACCAGAACCUCAAUGACGUGCUGGUCAGCCUGGAGAAGCAACACGGGAGCAACACCUUCACGGUCAAGGCCCAGCCCAGUGACAACGCGCCUGCAAAAGGGAACAAGAGCCCUUCGCCUCCAGAUGGCUCCCCUGCCGCCACCCCCGAGAUCAGAGUCAACCACGAGCCAGAGCCGGCCGGCGGGGCCACGCCCGGGGCCACCCUCCCCAAGUCCCCAUCUCAGCUCCGGAAAGGCCCACCAGUCCCUCCGCCUCCCAAACACACCCCGUCCAAGGAAGUCAAGCAGGAGCAGAUCCUCAGCCUGUUUGAGGACACGUUUGUCCCUGAGAUCAGCGUGACCACCCCCUCCCAGCCAGCAGAGGCCUCGGAGGUGGCGGGUGGGACCCAACCUGCGGCUGGAGCCCAGGAGCCAGGGGAGACGGCGGCAAGUGAAGCAGCCUCCAGCUCUCUUCCUGCUGUCGUGGUGGAGACCUUCCCGGCAACUGUGAAUGGCACCGUGGAGGGCGGCAGUGGGGCCGGGCGCUUGGACCUGCCCCCAGGUUUCAUGUUCAAGGUACAGGCCCAGCACGACUACACGGCCACCGACACAGACGAGCUGCAGCUCAAGGCUGGUGACGUGGUGCUGGUGAUCCCCUUCCAGAACCCUGAAGAGCAGGUGAGGGCUGGGU
This 872-nucleotide small RNA is filed under the name Pongo abelii (Sumatran orangutan). RNAcentral describes it as "processed transcript". Lineage: Eukaryota; Metazoa; Chordata; Mammalia; Primates; Hominidae. The record is from RNAcentral.